This 843-nucleotide small RNA is filed under the name Pyricularia oryzae. Its description in RNAcentral is "Magnaporthe oryzae sRNA M_BR32_EuGene_00132901". The record is from RNAcentral. Lineage: Eukaryota; Fungi; Ascomycota; Sordariomycetes; Magnaporthales; Pyriculariaceae.
UAAUUAUAACCUUUUUUAUUUUUAAAUAUAUUUUUGCCGUUUACCAUUAUAUAUUACCAAUACCGUUUAAAAAUUUUUAAUGGGUGCAAUAACCCAGGCGUUUUAUUAUAUUUUAUUUUAUUGCGUUAAUAUUCGCGAUAAUUUUUAAUAUAACGUUUAACGUUUCGAUUUCGGUCGGGUUAUUAAUAAUUCUUUUUUAGACGGUUAAAAAUUUUAUUUUGGCUUUUAUAGCCGAAAAUUUUGGAUCUAUAAAUUUCGCGGAUAAAAGCCGUUUUUAAAAAGAUUUUGCUAUUUUGGUUAAUUUCGGGUACCGUUAAUAAAUUAUUGUAAUAAUUUAAAUUUUAUUUCAGGUUUUUUUCCAAAAUAAAAAUUACCAAAUUAAUUCCUUACGGUGCGGAAAAUUCCAAAUUGUUAAUAAUUAAAAAAGGUUCGCCGGAUCGAAAAUCGAUUUUUUUUGGAAAAAUUAAUAUAAUAAUGCGGUUUAAUACAAUUCGGGUUUUAACCGUAAAAUUAUUAAUAAUUUUGCGCGAAAAAAUAUCGGUUACCACAUUAUUUUUACCGGGACGGUAUUUAAAAAUAAUAUCGAAAUUAACCAAAUAAUUAACCCAUUAUAUUUGACGAACGGACAAAAAUUUUUUAAUUAAUUAAUAAAUUAGGGCCUGGUAAUUGGUAAAAAUACAAAAUUUGGUACCUAAUAGGGCUGGUUCGAAAUUCUUUAGCGUAUUAAUUACAAUUAAUAAUUCCUGGUCCCUAAUCGGAUAUUUUUAUUUAAUAAAAAAUAUAAUUUUGGACGAAUAACCAAUUGGUUUCUAAUUAUUAUCGUUUUAUUAUUAUUAUAUAAUA